RNAcentral lists this long non-coding RNA (379 nucleotides) under Felis catus (domestic cat). RNAcentral describes it as "lncRNA (ENSFCAG00000051114.1)". The record is from RNAcentral. Lineage: Eukaryota; Metazoa; Chordata; Mammalia; Carnivora; Felidae.
CCCAUAAAUGCCAUCUCCAGGAGAGGAGGUCCAACUACGUACAUCCUCACAAAGUUGCACCCGGGUCAGGAAAUGCCUGGCUGCACCGCAGCGAUUGCAGUCUCCGCAGUGACUGACGCCCAGAGUUCGCUCAUGAAGUGCGGGGAGACACGAAGACUCUCCAACAAUGCUAUUUGCCAAAGCCACUGUGACAGUAUAUUCUGUAGGAAAAGACACCCUGGGCCAAAAGACAACACAUCUGGGUUCUGGUGGCAGCAUCUUUACUGUCUUCAUCUGUUUUCUUAUUUCUGAAAUAUAGGUAAUAAUACCUGCCCUGUCCAUCUCUCAGGGUUUUGUGAAGACAGAGUGUGACAAUAAAUAAUUGGAAACACUUUGGGCA